This is a long non-coding RNA of Daphnia pulex (common water flea), 556 nucleotides long. RefSeq lists it as uncharacterized. The record is from RefSeq and is a predicted model, not a curated record. NCBI's taxonomy places the organism in Eukaryota, Metazoa, Arthropoda, Branchiopoda, Diplostraca, Daphniidae. The transcript is spliced from 2 exons.
UUCAGUUUUGCCGCUUUGGCUCUUUGCAACUGCAGAGAUGCCAGAUGCGGACCUUUUUAAAUGCAAAACUGAAAAUGGCAAUGCUGUGCGUUACUUUCAAGAUGGCUGCGGCUGUUGGCAUUCGUUUCGAUGAGAUGAGAGUCGACAGCAACUGACAGUUCUCAGGUGAAAUGGAUCGUCCGGUUUGUAGAAUGGUUUCGAGAUUUGAACAGGCUUUGAUUUUGUUGCAGCCAGCUGGUGAAUGGUGGUGUUAGCUGUUACAUGCAGUCUUCGGUGCUGGUGUGAUGUCAAAUGGAACUGUUGCAUGCAGCGUGUAGUGCCGGUGUGAUGUCAAGGAGAGCUGUUGCAUGCAUCCUGUGGUGUUAACCUGAAAUGUGUUGGCUGUUGUGGAGUUGUUCGUCAUCUGUGUCCAUGCCUGAGUGCAUCAUCCAUAUAGUAUGAUGAUUGAUACAACCUGAUCUUACAAGAUAAGGAAUGAUUCAAUUGAUAACUGCUGGUUUAAAUUGUUUUCUGGCCAAAAAAAACCUAAAUGUUAAUAUCAUGGUUGAGAACAACA